UCGCACCGGUUCUUCUUCUUUCUUUUUCCCCCUACUUUCCCUCUUCGUUCUGCUCUUCUCUUUCCCUCCCAUUUUCGCAUCUCCUGCUCUUCCUCCCGGCUUUCCCUCUCCGUUUUCGCAUCUCCCUCUCGUUUUCGCAUCUCCUUCUGCACUCCAUUGAAGCAGCUCGCUCUCUCUCCAUUGAAUUGGUUUACUCGCUUUCUCACUCCAUUGAAGCAGCACCUCCAUUGAACUAGCUCUAGCCUCCAUUGAACUCACUUCGAGGGUUUGUCAUUGAAGCGCGCACGGCUACACCUCCACCCUAACGACCUCCUUGUCACGGCUACACCUCCACCGAUUCUGAGCUUUCUCACCUCCAUUAAACCAGCUUCGAGAUCAUUUGGGGAAGAACAGAAAGAAGAAUGGAGGUUCAUCUUCCUAAUUUUCCAAAAGAUUUUAAUGCGUUUUCUGCUUCAAUACCUGCUUCAAAAAUACCUGCUUCAAUUGCUGUUUUCUGCUUCACAUGGAUUCUCUCAGGUUACCAGCAUUAAGAUUGUUCCACAGGAUGAAAGUUCAGCAUAACCGGAUCUGCAGACAAGACAAGUUAUGCCAUUGUAGGGAUAGGAGCACCAUGGAUAAUUCGUGGAAGAGGGAUCAUUGCAAAUGGUUGUAUCAGCUCAAGAUCAAUGCUCCUGUGUAGUUGUUUCUAUUCUGUUGAUGUUAGCUGUCAGGCUGUGUCUGCUUAGAUGUUGUUGCGUUGAGCUGCUACAGUGCUGUGUCUGCUGUGCCGUGAUGUCGAGUUUUCCUGUGUUGAUGUGAUGCGCUGCCGUGUUGGUGUUGCUGUCUACUUCCUUUUGCAGUGUUGUGUUGCUGGUCUGGGGUGCUGUGAUGCUGAGUUGAUGUGCUUGCUCUGCUUCUUUGGUGUUGCGCUGUGUUUUGUUAUUUUUGUAGCAUGUAGAGCUGCUUAGUUUGGGCUGUUUACAGGUUUUUGGAGUAUUAGAAGUAAAUUUCUGUAACUUUAUAUAUAGGUUAGUGUUUAUAUAUCAAUUUAAGUGAAAAAAAUGCAAAAAAAAAAAAAAAA
Molecule: long non-coding RNA, 1060 nt
Organism: Chenopodium quinoa (quinoa)
Lineage: Eukaryota; Viridiplantae; Streptophyta; Magnoliopsida; Caryophyllales; Amaranthaceae
Exons: 5
Source: RefSeq, a predicted model, not a curated record